CUCCGACUCAGAGAGUUUGAUCAUGGCUCAGGACGAACGCUGGCGGCGUGCUUAACACAUGCAAGUCGAACGAGGUCCACCGCGUAGCAAUACAAGGGAAGACCUAGUGGCGAACGGGUGCGUAACACGUGAGGAACUUGUCCCGGUCUCUGGGAUAACAGUUGGAAACGACUGCUAAUACCGGAUGACGUCGGAAUCUCGCAUGGGAUACUGACGAAAGGGUUACUGGAUCGGGAGAGCCUCGCGGCCUAUCAGCUUGUUGGUGAGGUAACGGCUCACCAAGGCAUCGACGGGUAGCUGGUCUGAGAGGAUGAUCAGCCACACUGGGACUGAGACACGGCCCAGACUCCUACGGGAGGCAGCAGUGGGGAAUCUUGCGCAAUGGGCGAAAGCCUGACGCAGCAACGCCGCGUGCGGGAAGAAGGCCCUCGGGUUGUAAACCGCUUUCAGAAGGAACGUAAAUGACGGUACUUUCAGAAGAAGGUGCGGCCAACUACGUG
RNAcentral lists this ribosomal RNA (500 nucleotides) under uncultured bacterium. RNAcentral's name for it is "bacterial SSU rRNA". It matches the Rfam family "Bacterial small subunit ribosomal RNA", at positions 1 to 507 of the family's 1533-position model. The record is from RNAcentral.